AAGACAUCAAAACUGAGGCAGGGGCUAGGGCUAAGGCAGCGGCUGGGAAGUCCUGCUUCGUGCAAGAUGCCUUGUGCCUCAGAUGGUCGCGCAUCAGCAGCCACCUCAUCCUUGAGUGGAGGGCCAUCAGACCACAGUGACGUCACAGUUACAUAAGAAUACUGCAGGAAAAACUCCAUGAGAGUCUGCAUCCUGUCUUCACCUCUGUGAGUAGGGGCAGGGAGGAGCAGCAGCAAGACAUUAUUUUUUAAGAAAAAGUCUUGAACAGGCUCACCUGAGAGGCUUUUUUUUUUCUUUUUUUGUCUGCUCUGAGCAUUUCAGGAAUCACAGGCCUGUGCCAAGAAGCAGGCAGCGAGGCGGAACUCGGCACUGGAAUGUCAUCUUGUUCUGCCACCUUGGGAGAGAAGCUCAGAACUCUGCCGUAUGGUGCCUGUCUGUCGCCCAAGCUCUUGAGCUGUGGGGGAGGCAGCCACGCUUUUCUGGGACUAUCAGCACGGUCAAAGUGUGCACCUCACGUUUACUGGCCCAGCUGCCUUUCAAGCAAUGGAGCAGCCAUACCUACUCCCCACAAACCACAGGGACUACACACUUGCACCAAGGGGCCUCCUUCUUCCUCUCAGAAAGUACCUUCCCAGGCUUCUCCCCAGCAGGCUCAUCUCACUUCAACAAAACCUUCAAGAAACCUAGUGGGAGGCAGCUUGCUGGGAGGUAGGGACCAAGAAGUAAGGGGCAUCCAGCCCCUGCCUGCCAUCAGCUCAAGCCAUCCAGGGAGGAAGGCAAGCACACCACCUCCAGUGAUAGCAGAGAGCUCAUGGCUAUUUCUGUCCAGUCAGUUAAAAGGAAAUCAAGGAACUUCAGGGAAAGAAAGGCCAUGAGGAACAAGAGACCAUGUGUCAGGAUGUGUGUGCCCACGAAGAGCCUAGGUGUGGAAAUAGUCUUGCCAAGUUACAUUUCACUCCAGUGACUCUCUACUGCCCACUGAGCUGACACACAGGACUCAGUGCUCACAGUGUGCCGGGCACUGGGCUAGGCACUCAAGACCUCGCCGUGACUUGCACUCACUUUACAGGAUAGAAAAACUGAAGUUCUGAGGCUAAGAUAACUUGCCAGGGUCACCAAGCUAGUGAUUCAGAAACAAGGAUUCAGAUCUUAGUCCAGGGCUGGGGAACCUAUGGCACACACCCAGCUGUUAUUACCGAAAGCUCCAAACACACUUGCCAUCACUGUCCUCUUCCAUCCUGUCUCACACAGCCCUAUCACACAGUCUGAAUGUUUAUUUCAACUAAACACAUUUUCCAACGGUUUGGGCUGAAGUUAAUGCAAACUGAAGAGCUCUGAACAGCAAGUUCCUCAUUUCACAGGUAACGAAUACUGUACAUCCAGAGAGCAGUGGAAGUGAACUUUUCCAGUAUGCCACCAUGGGUCCAAUUCAGAAUCUAAACCCCCUGGCCUUUUUCCUAACUAUAUUUUUCUUUCCUGGGAUUUACUCUGACUUCACUGUGUAUGUUACAAGGGAAACUAAAACUAUUGAAUGAAAAAGAAAGACUAAGUCUAAACCCCACCCUGCAGGAAGUUUCUCCUCCCAGUCUGCGCACCAGUGUCAAUCUCUAGACCAUCUAAGGAAGAAGAGAAUGUACAACAGGACCAUGGGACCCCCUAAGGCUAUUAUUCAUCUGUAAACAACUAGCUGCAGAGAGGGGUGACUCCUCAGAGAGAUGGCACUUGUACCACAGCUGCAGGAACUGCAGUUCCCCAGAGCACUAGGCAACAGCACAGAAAGGGUUUGCAGCAAUCAGCGUUGAGGACUGCGGCAUUUACAGAUCCUCAGAUCUCCACAGGGGCCAGAACAGGCCCCUAGCACAGACCUAACAUUUUCCCUUUUGCUGCUCCCCUGAAUCUGUCCAGUUGAUUUUUCCACCUCCUCCCCAGCCAGGCACAGAACAUUUUCCCCUUUCCCUUCCCUGAACCACUGUGUGACCUUGUACCCCUCCCUGCAUUCAAAGCACAAUCAAGGCACCCCUCCCGGGCCCUGGCCCAGUGACCCUCAUUCUUCUCUCCCUUCGGAAGCUUCCUUUUCCUGUCCCUCCCAGUCUAAUAAUCUGCUCCUAUUCCACUGGGUCCCCUGGUGGCGCCCCACCUAGCAGGGCAAGGCCUGCACUGGCUCUGAUAUCCUCGCUGUCCUUUCCAUCAGUCUGGGCCUGAUAUAGGAGGUGCCUGUAGCACCAAAACCCUGGAAUUAGGAGCAAGGGACUAGUUGUCAUAGCCUUGUGCCACCCACAACCCCCUUGCCUCCACAAAGGGGGAAAAAAAGCAGGCUCUCAACAUUUACAUUUAUGCUAGAGCUUUGAGUGUGGCGCUCCUAAGUCUAGCCUUCAAAGCAGUUCAACACUUAACUCUGACAGGAAAUGUGAACAUGUUAAAAAAAAAAAAAAAAAACCAACCAUGAUUUGGCUGAGGAGUUGUUCUUUGCAAUGCUUCCAAGGAUGUACUUGAGUCUAAGCUGUAAGACCGACAAAAUAGCACUGAAUUUGAUGAUUCUGAUGGCCACAACACCCUGGUCAUCUGGUACCCACACUGGUCUUUUGAAUCCUCAGGUGUUGUUAAAAAUAAGAAAGAAAAGAAAAGAGAGACAGACAGACUUGUAUGAUUUCCUUUUCCCCACCUCCCCUCACAAAACAAGCCAAUCAUCGAUGACAGUAGAUUUAGAAGAUUUAUACCUAAGACUUCAGUCAUCAAAGAGUGAAAGCCAAGUCAUAAACUGUUGAUAUACAAGGACUCUGAAGGAACUAUAGCAAGUCAGCCUAAAUCAGCCUAGUCACUCUAGGCAUUGUUUUUAAAACUAUAAAAUCAAAGAGUAAAUGCCAGACUUCUGAUAUACUCCUUUUCUUCUAAAUACACAAACAUUAUGUACAUUCAUCAGAACCAAGUACUGCCUCGUUUUUGUGGCUCUAGCGCACACAGACUCUGUCAGGGAAACAACUUUAUGGAUUCGGUCACAAGAAAUGAACACAUUCAUAGGCCCCCAGUACAUUCAGUAUCUGACACACACUUCACAGAGGGCAGGCCAGUGAGACUUUGUGCAAGAGAGGAAAGGUCUGCAACCUAAAAUAAAAACACACAUUAAAAAUGUGCAUGCUGAACAAACAGAAUAUAAAAUGGGUUAACAGGGGCUCUGUUUUCCUCGCUGGCAAGAUAAGUUCUCUCUGGUUUGCCAUGGGGAUGGGAAACUGCUUACUUCUCCAUCACUCAACAGCUGAGCUUCCCUGUGAGUUCUCUCUUUGCUGACAAGUUGGCUGGACGGGUAUGAAUGCUUCAGCCAGCAGGUAAGCAAAGGUGUGCCUGUGCUCACCUGCACGCUUAGAUAUCACCAGCCAUAUAGCCACGCGUCACAAAAACCUAAGCCCAUGAAACUGCUUCCUGGAUGGCUGAAACUUCAGUUGUUUACCUUCAUAUGCCUCAAGUUAGUUUCGGAAAAUCACUUAAAAAUCAAGUAUUAGGGCUGGAGAUGUGGCUCAGUGGUAGAGUUCUUGCCUUGCACGUACAAGGCCCUGGGUUCAAUGGCCCAGCACAACCAAAAAAAAAAAGCCCUAAGCACUAUGAAGAAUAUUUCUACUACUCAGCACUUUCUAAAAAACAACAACGAAAAUCACUAUGCAAGAUCCCCUAGGUAAAGCAUCAAGAGAAGAUUCAAGAAGAGCAAUCAGUUCUGAUUCAAGUUUACAGUCAACCUUCAAGAACCAGGGCAGAGACAGACAACUGCAGAAACACUUAAGGAGAAGAAAGUGUCAACUGUCAAAUGAAAACUGGAAAAUACUGAUGCUAGGAACUAGACAGAGGGCAUCUGUCUACCCCUAGCAGGCUGAGGGCCUCGGAAAAGCCCUUCCCACUCCUGCUCCGAGGAGACUAUCUGCACACAUCCUUCACACUGCACUUGACCACAUCUACUCAGCUGAACUCCCAAAGUCUCCAAAACAAGAAUCUAGAAAUCAGCUUCUGGCCCCAGGGCUCAUGUGAAGUCCUGCAUAUAAGGUUUUUGUGCAUAAGCAAGAUAUAAUGCUAUUUACGCAAGCUAAAGAAAUAUACACCAAAGCAGUACACUGUUUCCACGUGGUAUCCAAGUAGAACAGCUUCCAAGACUCCCUUCAGAUAUCAACCCCCAUGAAAGGUCAAGUUCCUUACAUAAAAUGGUUUACACAAAACCUAUGGACAUUCUCCAUAUAAUUUAUCUCUAGAUUACACAUAACACCUAAUAUAAUAUACAUGUUAUAUAGAAAGUUAUUCUACUAUACUAUUUAGGAAUUACAACAAGGAAAAAAGCUGUAUAUCACACAAUCACCUUGUACUAUAAGUUCAAUGCAAGGUUAGGUGAAUUUGUGGGUAUGAAAUCCCCAGAUACAGAGGGCUGACUGUAGAUCCUGUGGUCACUUGUAUGAAAAAAACAGUAAAACCGGGAGGAAGUGUAUACACUUUAAGAAUACUGCAUGCACAUAUGCAUGUGUGUAUAUAAAGAGAUGGACUGGGGGUUAUACUUACAUGGUGUAGUUAAAGACUUCGUUUUCAGCUUUUUUUUUAAAUCUAUCGGUAGCAGGAAUUGAACUCACGACUACCUGCUUGCAAGGCAGGCACUUAUGCUGCUGAGCUAAAUCCCCAGCCCCAGUUAAAGACUUCUUUUCUCACAAAUGUUGUGUUUCUUAAAAGUAUAGGCUUGGGAUGAAUUUGACCAAAUGUCAACAGUUAUGGAUUCUAGGUGGCAGGAGACUGUACACUUGUUUUGCACUCCCACAUGCCCACACACACACAAGUAGAGAGAUUCAGAGACUUCCAUAUUCGCCGUGGGUCCAAAACACUAAAACAGUUUAAAAGCCUCUAUCAUCUCCAUAUUGUUCAACUCCAUAGCACUUCUAUAGUUCAAAUGUUGAUAAUAAAUAAUCUUUUAUUUUUAA
Molecule: long non-coding RNA, 4943 nt
Organism: Cavia porcellus (domestic guinea pig)
Lineage: Eukaryota; Metazoa; Chordata; Mammalia; Rodentia; Caviidae
Exons: 2
Source: RefSeq, a predicted model, not a curated record